Stegastes partitus (bicolor damselfish) is the source of this 168-nucleotide long non-coding RNA. RefSeq lists it as uncharacterized. Lineage: Eukaryota; Metazoa; Chordata; Actinopteri; Pomacentridae. The transcript is spliced from 3 exons. The record is from RefSeq and is a predicted model, not a curated record.
GGAAUCCGAUGUCGUCCUUUCUCCAGUAUUCCUCCCACUCUCCAAGCGUCAUGACCCGGUUGGCCUGUGGUUCCAACAUGUCGGCUUCAGUGACGACUGGUAUCUGUUCAGCAGCAGCGAGUUAUUUAUCGUCCUGAGUUUAGUCUGUCAGCUGCAGAGAGGGAAGCA